Long non-coding RNA from Bombyx mori (domestic silkworm), 10717 nucleotides. RefSeq lists it as uncharacterized. The transcript has 2 exons. NCBI's taxonomy places the organism in Eukaryota, Metazoa, Arthropoda, Insecta, Lepidoptera, Bombycidae. The record is from RefSeq and is a predicted model, not a curated record.
GGGACCUCUAGUAGAUUUAAUAAUGCAAUAAUUACAAUAUGAUAGUAUUAUAGUUAUCAAUUUUAAUAUUUCAUUUAUUAGACGCGCGGCGUAUCGUGGCUUUACUCUUGAGAUGAUUGUGUAAUGCGAUGAAAUAACAUUAUUUUAGUUUGGUAAUGCAUUUCUAUAUUGUAUUAAGGUAUGUGACGUAAGCAUAGCGUAGUUUAGAAAAUUGAGAAAGGGCUUUUCCGGUUUAUUUUUCUAUCGAGUUUUUUUUUAAAUUGAGCUUGUAGGCAGACUAACGUACGGCCCACGUACUGGGCGGUGAUUACCGUCGUUCAUGAUCGUCAGUAAUGCGAGGGGCACAGUAAAGUCGCAUCCUACCUACCUAGUACCUACUUAGUACUCCUAUUAUCUACUUAGUACACUUAGUACCUACUCUCCACAAAACCCGUUUCCAUAUAGUAGUGACAGUAGAAACGUGGAAAGAUAUUUAAGCUAUUGCAUAGCUUUUAUCGCAGCCUUUGAGCGUGGCGACCGAAUCAAGAAAUUCCGUAACGAAAAUAAAACCUAACACCUCCCACUCUGCCUACCAUGUAGCUCGCGAUCAACACAUUCACACGUUGCGCUUGUGUAGUGUUUGUGAAUAAACGCGCGGCGUGACGUCGCACUGAAUGCGCAUCAUGUCUUAUUUUAUUAUUGUUUUAAUAUUAAAUUAUUAUUCUCCAAUUAUAAUUGCAUAAGUUGAUAAAAAACACUAUGCAAUAGCUUUACCGCGGCAGUCCCCGAGUGCCACACGUGUUUUUUUUUUUAUAAAAGAACUAAAUGCUGACAAGUACCUAAUUAAAAAAAUAUACCUAUCGAAAUGUACCUACUUUCCGUGAUGCACAUAAUUAUGUCAAUGAGCUCUCCUUUCUUUGUUGAUUUUCUUUGUAUAAUGUAUUGCUUGGAGCCCUAAUUUGAAUCCUUGAUUCUCUGUCCCUGUUCCCACAGACACAGCCCACUGAGUUUCUCGCCGGAUCUUCUCAGUGGGUCGAGUUUCCGAUCCGGCGGUAGAUUCUGCGAAGCACUGCUGUUGCUAGAGCUAAUGUUAGCAAACGUCAGCUUAGAGCCCCUUGAGCUCAUAUACUCGCUCGUCAAAUCUAAUAUGACUCCUCCAGGUCACUAGAAUAGGAAAAAAAUGUCCCUGUUACACGGACACAUUGAGGAAUUAUUAUGAAAUUAUUAUUAAGAUGGUGCGGAUCACUCCCGUUGUUGCGGACCUCUUUUCUAUUUUGAUAGCUGAUGUAGUUUUUUAUUCUUGGCUUUUGACGUUGUCUAUUCAUUUUUAUCUAUUUCUUUUCUGUUUGCUUGACUUUCUGUUUUUUUUUAUUAAAAAAUAAUUAAUCUUCAACUUGUAUCAUCGUUUUAUCAUUUGCAGCUUCGAUCAACAAUAGUAACUAGAUUUAGGGUCGGCGCAAAAAUCCGUCUCGUCAAAUAACAGCUCACUUGAAAUGUGGGCUCUUAUUUUGUUUAGUUCAUAUCAGACACAGCCAAUGUCAACCCGUCUCACAAGGCCGCAGUGUAUAUUCAAAAGUUGCAAAAAAUGCCCGAAAUAGCAAUUUAACGGCCGGAGUAUUUUACUUUCGGUAAGUACAUGAAGUUAUAUUUUAAGCUUUAAGCAAAUAAAUAAUAUUAAAUUUUAAACAAAAUUACCGAUUUUUAAUUCACGCGGCCGGUUUUUUCUUUGAUUUUGUACAUGUCCCUUUAUCUAGUUACUAUUGUUGAUCGAAGAUUUGCAGAGAUUAUUUUGGUUUAUUUAUUUCACCCGUCAUCAUUAUUAUCAUGUCUUCUUGCUAAAAUCGCCUCUGGAGCAAAUACCACCGAGUCUCCAGCUAUAUUCACUCGCAUGGCUGCGUCCUGCAGUUACCGAUUUCCUUAAUUGAUGGUAGCUUGACCAAGCAGUCUGCCUUCCGCAAUUAAAACCUCACGUCACGGACAAGAUUAGCACUAUAUUUAGGGCGUGCGUCUAUAAAAUCUAUAUAUAGACCGAACAAGAAACUCAGCCGGCAUCAAUAUACAUAUAAUAAUACAAUAGAAUCCGCUGUGUCUGUAUGUUGAAGGAAUUUUUUAAUGUAGAAAGUAAUGUUACAUACGAAAUUAACUAAUGGUCUCCUGGUAGUCGAAAUUCGACUAUAGUUAAUUGAAAUUAUAAAUUUGUACAGUAUUAUGAUAUUUUUUUUAUUGCCCUUGUAGGCAGACGAGCAUACGGCCCACCUGAUGGUGAGUGGUUACCGUCGCCCAUGGAUUCAGCAAUGCCAGGGGCAGAGCCAAGCCGCUGCCUACCGCUUAAUACUCUCCACAAGCCUCGUUUGAAGAAGGACAUGUCAUAGCGCUCGGGAAACACCGUGGAGGGGAGCUCAUUCCAUAGCCGGAUGGUACGUGGCAAAAAAGAUCUCUGGAAACGCACUGUGGACGACCGCAGUGGCUCCAGGUAGUAUGGAUGAACUCUACUCCGGUGGCGGGCGGUGCGAUGGUAAAAACGAGAUGCCGGUAUCAUCUCGAACAAUUCCUCAGAGUACUCCCCAUGGAACAUACGGUACAGAAUACAGAGGGAACCGAAAUCCCUCCGCAGACCCAGACCCAUUCUAUUGUCAAAGACUAUUAUACUUUUAUAUUCACAGACUUCGCCAAGAAUACACUUUAGACAAAUAAUAAUAAAGACAAACAAUAUUUAAUCUAUACUCAAUUUGACCACAGACUAUAAGUAAUAAGAAAAGUUUGACACUAAACAAAUAGUAUCCAAGCGUGCGUGUGUCAAAUACAUGGUAGUUUGUGUAAUGUUUUUUUAAUUGAUUCCAUGUAUUUUUAUGCAUAAUUCUGCACUUCAGUUAACUUUUACGCUAUCGAGAACGUUAGAAAACUCGCACUAAGCACACAGAUUACCGAUUUUGACGAAAUUCAGUAUUCAUUUAGACCCCGGAAAAGAAUAUACUGCGGGUAUAAUCCUAUACGACUUCUGAACUCGAGUUUCCGCUCAUGCGAUAUAAAGUGUGGUCCACGCAGACGAGACUGACGACAGAAAGCUGUUCUAACAAUAUUAGAAUAGGCAAGUCUGCUGCAAACUGUUGGGGCAGUUUUUUUCGGGACUGCAGUAAUCCUACCUUUAGUAGAAGUUCAUUUUAAAACUCAGUACGACUAUAAUGUCACCCGAACAAUAAAUAAAUAUUUUUUUGAAUAUCUACGACAUUAAAUACGAAUGCCUAUUGCCACAAUUUUGCUCAUAUUUUUCAGGAAAAUCGUAGAUCCGUUCACAGAAAAGUCGCAAAACGAUCACGUUAAAAAUCAACAAAUUGAAACUAAUUUUAUAGUAUUUAUCAGUAUUUAUGCAUAUUUGUAAUGUUCUAAAUGGUGGGUAAUGAAAAAACAAAGAACAUUGCUUAGAUACAACCAACAUUAACUAAGUCAGGAAUGUAAUCAAGGAGAAAUACAAGACUUGCUCCAGUCGAUUAGAUAGUGUAUUCAAUAUCGUAGUCUAUUGACCGGGGGUCGGUCUGUCCCUGGGCUGCACCUCCCAGGGGAUGCCGCUCUACUCCUCGCAUCGGAUAUGGAUAAUACAAGCAUGCUAUAACUCGAUGCUGGUAGCUUGCUUUUUUUGGACAGUGUGUUUUGAAUUUUGUAGAUAUUGUUACACGCUGGGGUUCGGGAUAAAUAAAAUUUCAACCAAACUACAAAUUAACACUGUAUUAACACUUGGAAUACUUAAAACGCUUAAUGAACACUUUAAAAUUCUCAAUUUCGAUCUUCCGCUCCGGUUCAGGUGAUCCGUUCGCUGUUUCGCUUCGAGUAGAUCCGAUUACUAACUGCCUUCGUGACAUCCCCAGAGUUAUCGAAAACGUUCCUCACAAGUCGAGUAUGUGUGUGGCGUUGUACUUCUCGAGCGUUCUCGAUUUUACUAGUUCCUUUGAUUAUCGUUUCUGCUAUUUGACGAUAGAUGGCGUUGCUCUUACUGGGGUAACAAUGUGUAAUAAAGUAUAUUUCAGAUUACCCCUUCGUUUACAGUUACCAUGGAACGUUUAUAGACCGGACAUUGAGAAACGAACGCAAAACAUAUACCUAGUCUUGCCAUAAAUACUGAGACAAAAAAAAUCUAUUGCAAAUAACAUUUAUUACUUUUACAGUGUGUUGUUAAUACAUGAAUAUAAAACAAUUUAAAGUAUAAAAAGCUUAUUAGAAGUGGUCUCCAUUGGCUGCAAUACAGUCCUUUAAACGUUGAGGCCAGUUAUCAAUAGAAGCACGCACUCUUUCCAUGGGAAAAAUUUUCACUGCCGAUCGUACGGAUUGUUUUAGGGACUCCAAAUUAUCAUGGCGUUUAGAGCAAGCCGUACUCUCUAAAACUGACCAUAAAUCAUAAUCCAGCGGAUUAAGAUCGGGACUAGACGACGGCCAGUCUUCAGCUCUGAUGAAGUCCGAAACGUUCGUUUCCAACCAAGACUGCGUAAACCGAGCUUUAUGACCUGGCGCCGAGUCUUGCUGGAAGGACCAUUCUUGACUAUUGAACAUGGUGUUGUUAAGGGGCUUCACUACCUUCUUAAGAAUGGUAUCUUGAUACGCUUGUGCCGAUGUUUUGAUACCUUUUUCACAAAAGUAUGGCUCAGUCACUCCUUCAUAGCUAAUACCCCACCAAACCAUCACUGAAGUCGGUUAGUGCCCACGUUGCACUCUGUUGACUAAUUGGGAAGCUUCCUUAGAGCUUUGAGCAUAAAUACGGUCAUUUUGUUUGUUAAAAUGUUGCUCAAUUGUAAAAAAUUUCUCAUCCGUAAACAAAAUUUUUCUAUGACCUCCCUUUGCGUACCGCUUCAGUAGUUGUUUCGAUUUUACCACCCUAUUCUCUUUUAAAUUAUCAGUUAAGAAAUGACCAGUACGUCUCUUAUAGACUGCAAGUCCUAAGUCAUCUUUUAAAAUACGCGACAUGGUUCUAGGUGCUAUCUUCAUCUCCCGAGAUAAAAUCUUUUGCUUUCGGACAGGAUUUCUUCGAAUGCUUUCCCUUACUGCUUUGACCACCAUUUCCGUACGAACACUACGUGGAUGGCCAAAUCUUUUUCUGUCACAAGCAGAGGAGGUCUCAUUGCACCUAUUAAUAGCCCGGUACACCAACAUUUUACUAAUACCAAGCGUAUGGAGAGUUUUAAAAAUUGCAUUUGGCUCCAUAUCUACUUUGUGUAAUGGAAUCACAGCGAUUCGGUUCUCUUUAUCACCCCACUCCACUUUAAUAUCGCAAAAUAUUGUACAAUGUAUUGGCAUCAAAAUGAGAAAACUCAAAGAGCAAUCAUAAACAAAUGACAGAUUCCAAAUUCAAAUGUAAUAUUUUGUUUAUUUUUAAUUGUAACAGUAUUUAUGGCCAGACUAAGUAUAUAACGCGUCAUGUGAAUUAUGAAACAAUUUGUGCAUCACUGUACAAAUUGUUCACUUUUGAAUAUUCAUAUUAAAGGAGGUUCAAAUCUAAUAUUAAGAAGGUAAAGAACAACUUAUGUGAGUUUUAUUAAAUUCAAACUAAGAACAUUCUAAAUACAUAGAUGAAUAUGCGAAAAAUCCCCGCGUUAGAUGGAGGAAACAAUUUGCAUACGAGAUACAGGAUCACGUUAUAUCAUAACGCGUUAAAAGAGUACCGCGUUAUACGAGACUAGUGAAAACAGGAUGCAUUAAUGUAGACGAAGGACGUGUAUGAAAUCGUAGACAAAAAAUGUAUCUACCCUCUUUAGUCAUUUCAGAGUAAUUUACGUUAGCGAACUAUAAUGAGUGGUAGGAUAACAUAAUUUUCAGUUUUGCGUGUGUGUACAUUACUAAAUGAGCUAGGAUGGAAAACGAAAUGGUCUUGGUAUAACGGGGGCAUGAUGAGCGCCUUUAAUUAAAUAAACAAUUUACUUGGUAGUUUAAUUAUUAUUUUAGAGCGGGCUGCCGGCCGCCGGUGCGUGUGCAUACAUAAUUCUCUCGCUGCUUUAAUAAGCUGUAAGUGGACGAAAGAGAGCUUUUGAAAUAUGCAGAUUUUUUUUUCAUAUAAUGCCACCAAAUUAUAAAUCGUCGUGGCCUAAAGGAUAAGACGUCCGGUGCAUUCGUGUUGAGCGAUGCACCGGUGUUCGAAUUCCGCCGGCGGGUACCAGUUUUCUAAUGAAAUACGUACUCAACAAAAGUUCACGAUUGACUUUCACGGUGAAGGAAUAACAUCGUGGAAUAAAAAUCAAACCCGCAAAAUUAUAAUUUGCGUAAUGAGUGGCGGUAGGACCUCUUGUGAGUCCGCUCGGGUAGGUACCACCACCCUGCCUAUUUCUGCCGUGAAGCAGUGAUGCGUUUCGGUUUGAAGGGUGGGGCAGCCGUUGAAACUAUACUGAGACCUUAGAACGUAAUAUAUAUAUCAAUGUGGGUAGCGCAUUUACGUCGUAGAUGUCUAUGGGCUCCAGUAACCACUUAACACCAGGUGGGCUGUGAGCUCGUCUACCCAUCUCAGCAAUAAAAAAACAUUUAAUUUCAUUAUUACUGAAAUAUGUGAUUCGGGGAUGGUUUGCUUAAUUGUUUACGUAAUGGUUUGCAAAGGAAUGCAAGUUUACCAACUCAGUCAAAGAUCUUCCCGUUUGUCGAUCGAAAAAGGUUUAAAUUACUUAGGUUGAAACAGACAACAUAACAAUUAUAACCAACUUAGUUCAUAUGACAUGAAUACAAAAAUUAUAGAACAAAUGUGAAGCGCAGUGUUUAUUUCAAGUGUGUAUGUACUUUAUAAUGGGCUGUCUCGUUGAAAUUUUGGAAAUAUUCCAGGUUCAGUAGUCGUAUGAAAAUGUGGAAGCACACAUAAUAUAUUGGCUGUUCUGUCUUCAUUGUACUUCCGCUAACGAGUGGCUGAGACUUAAGUUUGGAAAAAGGUGGUAUUUUAAAGUUUAAUGAAAUGAUAUAAAUGAUAAAGUGUACGCUCACGGGUCUAAAGAAGCUGCUCAAGUGGUCGGAAAGGUACAACGUGGUCAUCAGUGGUUUGGUGAGGCGGGUCAAGGGGCCACGGGACUACAUUUUUGUGAAAAAGGAGUGAAAACUUCAGCCAAAUUGUGUCAAGAUACAGUCUUGGAACGUGUUGUGAAACCUCUCAGCAAUACACUUUUAAAAAUAUACCGUGGACUUUCCAGUAAGACUCUGCACCUGGUCACAAGGCAACUACCCAAGCCUGGCUUGAAACCAACAUUCCGGACUUGAUAAGAGCUGAAGACUGGCCCUCAUCUAGCCUAGACUUCAACCUUUUAGACUUCAAAUUAUGGUCAGUUUUAGAGGACAUGGCUUGCUUUAAACGACAUGAUGACAUUGAGUCUCUUAAAAAAUCUUUACAGCAAGCAGUGGCAAAAUUUCCCUUGGAAACAGUGCGUAAAUCCAUAGAUUCGUGGCCAAACAGAUUAAAGACCUGUAUAAAAAAGCGAAAGGUGGCAUUUCGAAUAGAAUAUUUUUUAAUUUUUGCUGAGACUUUAAUAAAUAUGUAGAUGACGGCGUUAACGAUAUUUAUGUUAUAUAGCACGUGCAAUAGGAGUGACUCACACAAGCCAGGCGCGCCGGCCGUGUCGUUCCACUCGUAAACAACAGCUGCAACAGAAGUGACUCAUAAGCCAGCUGCGCCGGCUAGUAUAAAAAGGCGGAACGUGCCUUGAAAUGAACAUUCGUUGGACUGCGCUUGCCUGGUGCACUUACUAUAUCCUUGUUACGUUGUGUGAUUCAGUGACUGUUGUACGUACUGGUUAAAGUUGGACAAGUGUUAAAGUGAAUUGUUAAGAUAACAUAUUAUUGAUUAAAUCAGGAACCAAAAAGUGACAUCGUUUUACUUGGUGUUCAACAAGAUAAUGUCUACCCUCAAGCUUACAUCAGAAGUGGGAUCAGGACUCUACUCUCACUGGCGUGACGUGUUUGACCAUGUUCGAAGUACAGCAAAAAAAACAUGAUGCAGAUCAGAAUACUAGUAGUGGUACGCCACAAGAGCGUGAAUGCAGCAUACUUUGUCUGUCGACGUCAUCACAUGGCGUUUACUAACGGAAAUACAACACGUAACAAGCUAUUGCAAGAAAUUAAGGCAAGUGCAAAUCUCAAGUGAAACUUCGAUCGCAAUAAUGGAUCUGUCAUGACGAGUGGGUAGUUCCGACACGAAUCGUUUUUAAGCCAAUGACUACUGCUAGAGUUACAUGGCACUAGUACAGUAAACCAGGACAUGAGACUGUGAAUUGUCGCUGAAAUUUUAGAAUCUACUCGAUUCAAUACCAAUAACACUACACGUUCGAUGACUUCGGGCUCCAGCAAGCAAGCAAACAAGAAAGCAAGCAAGUUUCCGUGGGGAAGAAAAAUUGACACAUCUGAAGUCGUCGUGACCUGUAAGAUAAGACGUCCGGUGCGUUCGUGUCUGGCGAUGCGGCGGUGUUCGGGUUCCGCUGGCGGAUGCAGGUUUUUCCGGUGAAGUGCGUGCUUGUGCGUGCUUGACAAGUGUUCGCGGUUGGCUUCCUCAGUGUGGGAGUAACAUCGUGUAAGAGAGGUGGAACCCGUAAAAUUGUAGUUUGCGUGGUGGCUGGUAAGAUUUGUUGCGGUAAGAAGUUUGCAUGGUGGUAAAAUGUCUUGUGAGUCUGCACAGGUAGCCGGAGGUGAGACUUCCGCGGUCGCGGCCCACCCAGUCCGCGAGAACCGGGCAGAUCGCCUCGACGGUACGGAGGCCAGCUGACGGGUCCGCCAAACGACGAGACCACGCUUCCAGCACGGACUGCCGAUAUUGGAGCCCCCGCGCUCCGGCUGCACUUGCGCUAGGGCGCGCCGCCUCGUAGGAGACUGUGAGCCUGCAAAACCUGAACAACCUCCUCAUCCGUGGGCGCCCGGCUCUCGCCUGCAAGUCGGCUGUUACGUGUGCGGUGAUGCGAGCCAUGUAGCUUCUGGGUGUUCCAUGCGCUACAAGAAGAAAAACGACACUGCUCCAGGUGCUGUGGCAGGUCCAACCAGAGACGUCAACGUGUGUUCCAGAGCUUCAGUGUGUUACAGAUAAGUGGUUUUGGCUUCCCCUUUAUGUUCCAUUCAGGGUUAGAAUGUAGUCUUAUAAAACAAAGCCAUAGUAAUUUAUUUAAUGGUAAGCGGUUUCAUGAACAAGUCACCGUAGUCACCCUAGACACGUCCUUACGGAUCCAUCAGAUCCAAUAACUCUUGCAUUAGAUACCUUCAGCUCUAACACUAGGAGCAGGCUGAGGAACCCCAGUAAUCGUACUCGUCGAACUCGACAAAGAGGUCGACGUGCAACCUAACCCAUGCAUCAGCCCACUGAGUUUCUCGCCGGAUCUUCUCAGUGGGUCGCGAUUCCGAUCCGGUAGUAGAUUCAUUCGCGAAGCAAUUGCUCUUGAGUUGUUAGGUCUCCUGCGGAGGCGCUCGGGCAGUUGUUAGCAAAUCCCACCCCUCUUGGCUGAGCCUUUGCUCGCCCACCCGUCCUGGUGAAGCGGGAAAGGCCUCCGGGCCACCAGUAAUCUUUCAAUCAUCUGCAGUUUUGGAAAACGAUAGGUAUAAGUUGAGACAUAUAAAUGGUUCUAGUGUACAAAGUUCCCCAUGAAAACUUACGCGAAGUACCUCGAGGCCCGUCAGGCCUACUAGAAAUUUCUGAAAAUUAUAGUGACGAUGACGUGACGGCGUACACAGAUGGGUUAAUUAAUCUUGUUCAUGAAACUGAUCUUAAUGAUGACGACUCUAUCACUGACAAUAGAAGCGACAUUUUUGUCCGCAAAUAGCGAUACAGCAAACAUAGUCUGUGGGUAGUGAUACAAUGUCUGUAAGCUUAGGCACCUCAGGUGCAGGUGUUGGAAAUGUAGAAAACGAUGGUCGGUCUCGCACUAUUUCUGAAGAAAUUCCGUAUAAAUGUUCUGGUUUAAGAAAUGUUUUAACAAACGCUACCGUACACGCAGAUUAAAAAAAAAAAAGAGAAUUGUAUGUGGCUAGAGAGAUGUUAAUCCGGACUAGCAAAAAAAAAAGAGAAAAAAAAAAGAAAGUGUGAAGUCAUUGAAGGGUCUGUCCGGUCCAAUGGCUUGGCUAUAGGGAUUUUCAUCCAGAUUAGCCACAGCAAUUAGCUACAGGGAUUGCGAUUCGGUCUAGCAUUAUCCGGUCCAGUUCGAAAAACUGAAGGGAUAACAACUCCGGUCUAAGUUAAAAGGGACAUACUUACAUACCUGAAGAGUUUUAAAUGAACUGGCCCAGGUAUGUAAGCAGUCUGAAGGUUAUUUAUAGCCAGUAUAGGAUUUUCUGAAGAAUUAUGCGAACCGAACCGUACUAGAUUGUUAAUAUCAUAGACCACGUUUUAAGUUGCAUCCGUUAAUGUCAGGAUGAACGAACACAUUUGUUGUUCACAGACAUACCAUAAGAAUGCGCGCACGAGGACGAGCGCACGUCAGUAUGGCCGUGACGGCGUUAACGAUAUUUAUGUUAUAUAGCACGUGCAAUAGGAGUGACUCACACAAGCCAGGCGCGCCGGCCGUGUCGUUCCACUCGUAAACAACAGCUGCAACAGAAGUGACUCAUAAGCCAGCUGCGCCGGCUAGUAUAAAAAGGCGGAACGUGCCUUGAAAUGAACAUUCGUUGGACUGCGCUUGCCUGGUGCACUUACUAUAUCCUUGUUACGUUGUGUGAUUCAGUGACUGUUGUACGUACUGGUUAAAGUUGGACAAGUGUUAAAGUGAAUUGUUAAGAUAACAUAUUAUUGAUUAAAUCAGGAACCAAAAAG